GAACAAAAUGAUCAGAAUUGUAGAAUUAUAUGAUAUCAGGAAGAAGACAUACUAUACUUACAGGUACAUGAUGCUAUAACUUGUCUGGAAAAGGGGCUUGGAUAACAUAAACAAACUAAAUAAAUAGACAGAAAGAUAAUGAUUCGUUGUUCCAGAGCUAUUACAAAUGGUCCAUUUUGGUACUCAGAAGCUGCUCUUUACAGUCCUAUAGAUUCUUUGAAAAUAGCUGCUUUCACGAGAAUCUGUAAACAUCAACUUUUCAAGUGCUUUAUAAAGUUAUAUAUUAAAGUCUAAUUCGUAAGUUUAAAUAUUUAUUCUAUACCACACAUAGAAAUAACUAGCGAACACAACACCACCACAGAGAAGCAAAAACGGGCCAUCUUUCAGAGGAAAACAUCAAAUGA
Long non-coding RNA from Lycium ferocissimum, 404 nucleotides. RefSeq lists it as uncharacterized. Lineage: Eukaryota; Viridiplantae; Streptophyta; Magnoliopsida; Solanales; Solanaceae. The record is from RefSeq and is a predicted model, not a curated record. The transcript is spliced from 2 exons.